Molecule: RNase P RNA, 396 nt
Filed under: Candidatus Marithioploca araucensis
Lineage: Bacteria; Pseudomonadati; Pseudomonadota; Gammaproteobacteria; Thiotrichales; Thiotrichaceae
Description: RNase P RNA component class A
Rfam family: Bacterial RNase P class A
About the family: Ribonuclease P (RNase P) is a ubiquitous endoribonuclease, found in archaea, bacteria and eukarya as well as chloroplasts and mitochondria. Its best characterised activity is the generation of mature 5'-ends of tRNAs by cleaving the 5'-leader elements of precursor-tRNAs.
Source: RNAcentral
GAAGUUAGUCAGGCAGUCGCUAUAUUUUUUUUGUUGAAAUGUAGAGGAAAGUCCGGGCUUCAUAGGACAGGGUGCCAGGUAACACCUGGGAGGCAUGAGCUUACGGAAAGUGCCACAGAAAAUAAACCGCCUUUUUUUUUCAAGGUAAGGGUGAAAAGGUGUCGGUAAGAGCGCACCGCAUUGGUGGUAACAUCAAUGGCACGGUAAACCCCACCCGAAGCAAGACCAAAUAGUGGAAUUGUAUAGUAUCUAUACAAAUGUGGUCCGCAUUACUCCAGGGUAGGUCGCUAGAGGUGUUUGGUGACAAGCAUCCCAGAUGAAUGACUGUCACACUCAAUUCUGCUCUAAAGGGCAGUCAGUUGUGUACAGAACCCGGCUUAUAGACUGACUUCUUAC